This 57-nucleotide transfer RNA is filed under the name Bursaphelenchus mucronatus. RNAcentral describes it as "tRNA-Tyr". Lineage: Eukaryota; Metazoa; Nematoda; Chromadorea; Rhabditida; Aphelenchoididae. The record is from RNAcentral.
GAGAGUUUAUUUUAAAAUUUAAAAUAAAAGAUUGUAAAUCUUUAGAUUUAAUUCUUA